GUGCUUGCUGUGGUGGCACACAUACUAAAAUUGGAAAGACACAGAGAAGAUUAGCAUGGCCCUGUGCAAGAGUGACAUGCAAAUUCAUGAAGCAUUCCAUAUUUUA
Molecule: small nuclear RNA, 106 nt
Organism: Nannospalax galili (Upper Galilee mountains blind mole rat)
Lineage: Eukaryota; Metazoa; Chordata; Mammalia; Rodentia; Spalacidae
Source: Ensembl